GUCGGCCGCCGGGGAGAAUAUGUCCUGCUGACUCCGCGGCGCUCGGUAGGCGGCGGUCAUCAGCACAUAUCGCCCCCUGCGCCGGC
Molecule: microRNA precursor, 86 nt
Filed under: macacine gammaherpesvirus 12
Lineage: Duplodnaviria; Heunggongvirae; Peploviricota; Herviviricetes; Herpesvirales; Orthoherpesviridae
Description: miRc-N3
Source: RNAcentral